RNAcentral lists this ribosomal RNA (238 nucleotides) under uncultured bacterium. RNAcentral's name for it is "partial 16S ribosomal RNA". It matches the Rfam family "Bacterial small subunit ribosomal RNA", at positions 1262 to 1500 of the family's 1533-position model. The record is from RNAcentral.
UGGAGGCAAAUCCCUAAAAGCCAUCCCAGUUCGGAUCGCAGGCUGCAACCCGCCUGCGUGAAGUUGGAAUCGCUAGUAAUCGUGGAUCAGCAUGCCACGGUGAAUACGUUCCCGGGCCUUGUACACACCGCCCGUCACACCAUGGGAGUCGGUAACACCCGAAGCCUGUAGUCUAACCGCAAGGAGGACGCAGUCGAAGGUGGGAUUGAUGACUGGGGUGAAGUCGUAACAAGGUACC